CGGCCACCCGGGGUGACCCGCGGGACAGUGCCACAGAAAGCAGACCGCCCGGGACUCCGGUCCCGGGUAAGGGUGAAACGGUGGUGUAAGAGACCACCAGUGCCCAGGGCGACCUGGGCAGCUAGGUAAACCCCACCCGGAGCAAGGUCAAGAAGGAAGCACCCCGGUGCUUCUGCGCGGACGUUCGAGGGCUGCCCGCCCGAGUCCGCGGGUAGACCGCUGGAGGCCGGUGGCAACGCCGGUCCUAGAUGGAUGGCCGUCGCCGGCGGGCCCGCGAGGACCCGCCGGAACAGAACCCGGCGUA
RNAcentral lists this RNase P RNA (304 nucleotides) under Streptomyces ambofaciens ATCC 23877. RNAcentral's name for it is "RNaseP_bact_a". The stretch from base 1 to 261 matches the Rfam family "Bacterial RNase P class A", at positions 82 to 320 of the family's 367-position model. Rfam says of the family: Ribonuclease P (RNase P) is a ubiquitous endoribonuclease, found in archaea, bacteria and eukarya as well as chloroplasts and mitochondria. Its best characterised activity is the generation of mature 5'-ends of tRNAs by cleaving the 5'-leader elements of precursor-tRNAs. Cellular RNase Ps are ribonucleoproteins. The record is from RNAcentral. Lineage: Bacteria; Bacillati; Actinomycetota; Actinomycetes; Kitasatosporales; Streptomycetaceae.